Molecule: unclassified non-coding RNA, 209 nt
Filed under: Hevea brasiliensis (rubber tree)
Lineage: Eukaryota; Viridiplantae; Streptophyta; Magnoliopsida; Malpighiales; Euphorbiaceae
Source: RNAcentral
GCUUGUUGAUUUCCCGGAGUUUGUUGCAGCGACUCUACAUGUGCAUCAGUUAGAGGAGCAUAAUUUGUUAAAAUGGCAGCAAAGAUCGCAAACUGCUUUUGAGAAAUUUGACGUUGAUAGAGAUGGAUUCAUAACUCCAGAAGAACUUAGAAUGCAUACCGGCUUAAAAGGCUCUAUAGACCCAUUGCUCGAAGAAGCAGAUAUCGACA